AUAUUUUGCUAAUAAUAUGUUAAAAUUAUUUAUAUUAUCAAUAUUUUAGAAGCUGAUGUCAUCAAGGAAAAAUCUAAACCAGCCCCUGAGAAGAAAGAGGCUGACGUCAUCAAGGAGAAAGCUAAACCAGCUCCUGUAAAGAAAGAGCCUGAUGCUGUUAAAGAAAAGGCUCCAGAACCAAAACCCAAAAUUGGUGAGUUUUUUUCCUCUCAGUUCUUUUUGCAUUGUAAACUUUUACCAAAAAUAUGGUCAAUCUAUUUAUAUUUGAACUGUUUAACAUGAAACUGAAAUAUUCUUCUGUUUUCUGUUUUGUAGAGGCUGAAGUCAUCAAAGAGAAAGCUAAACCUGUCCCUAAGAAGAAAGAGGCAGAAAUUAUCGAGGAGAAACUUAAACCAGCUCCUAUAAAGAAAGAGAAAGAGGUUCCUAAAGAAAGGGCACUUGAACCAACACCAGAACCUGCAAAGAGAGUUGAAGCUCCAAAGGAAAGGGCGAAACUAGUCCCUAAAGUAAAAGCACCUGAGAUAACUAAAGAAGAACCAAAACCAGCACCAAAGAAAGGUACUGCAAUUUUUCAUAAGAAUAAAGCCAUAAAAGUCCCUGAUUUUAAGUAAGUGCU
This 616-nucleotide long non-coding RNA is filed under the name Sinocyclocheilus grahami. RNAcentral's name for it is "lncRNA (ENSSGRG00000031542.1)". Lineage: Eukaryota; Metazoa; Chordata; Actinopteri; Cypriniformes; Cyprinidae. The record is from RNAcentral.